Molecule: long non-coding RNA, 515 nt
Filed under: Olea europaea subsp. europaea
Lineage: Eukaryota; Viridiplantae; Streptophyta; Magnoliopsida; Lamiales; Oleaceae
Source: RNAcentral
CCAGUUUCCAUCAACAAAUUAUUGUUUAUCAUACAAAUUCUCUAAUUUAUCAGUCAUUUAUCAAAAUCAUAUUUAGAGUCCACAGAUACCAAAUAUUCUCAAAUUCACAAAUCUUCAAAUUUUCUUGAAUCAUAAACCUAAAAUUCAGCAACAAAAUCCCCAAUGUUUUGAAAUUCUUGAAUUCACAAAAUCCCAAAUAUUAAAAAAAAAAAUUAUCAGUCAACAGACUCACAAACACAUCCAUAACUCAUAAAGCAAAAAUCAUAAAUGAAAUGAACUAAACUCUAAAAAAGCAAGAACCAAAAAAGGAAAAUAGAGGUAGUAGACUCAGUGACUCGCAACAAUGAAGGCUAGUGGUGAAGAUUGGAGGCAGAGAGGCUAGGCAUCGACUGUCAGCAACAAGCAACAUCGUCCAAGGCAAGGCCUGGGUGCGUUAUGUCAAGGGAUGGAUUGAGAUUUUGAGAAUAGAGAGAGUAAAUAGGUUUUGCACAAUUGCAUUGUCGGUUUCAUUUUUC